Molecule: ribosomal RNA, 207 nt
Filed under: uncultured bacterium
Lineage: Bacteria
Description: partial 16S ribosomal RNA
Rfam family: Bacterial small subunit ribosomal RNA
Source: RNAcentral
UGAGCAAUCUGCCCUUCUCAUCGGAAUAAGCGUUGGAAACGACGUCUAAUGCCGAAUACGACCUCCUUUCGCAUGAUCGGAGGUGGAAAGCUCCGGCGGAGAAGGAUGAGCUCGCGGCCUAUCAGCUAGUUGGUGUGGGUAAUGGCCCACCAAGGCGACGACGGGUAGCCGGCCUGAGAGGGUGACCGGCCACACGUGGGACUGACG